GACGAACGCUGGCGGCGUGCUUAACACAUGCAAGUCGAGCGAUGAAGCACCUUCGGGUGUGGAUUAGCGGCGAACGGGUGAGGAACACGUGAGGAAUCUGCCUUUCACUUCGGGAUAACUCCGGGAAACCGGGGCUAAUACCGGAUAUUUUCAACUGGCGGCAUCGCCGGUUGAAGAAAGUUUUUCGGUGAAGGAUGACCUCGCGGCCUAUCAGCUUGUUGGUGAGGUAAUGGCUCACCAAGGCGACGAAGGGUGGCCGGCCUGAGAGGGCGACCGGCCACACUGGGACUGAGAGACGGACCAGACUCCGACGGGAGGCAGCAGUGGGGAAUAUUGGGCAAUGGAGGAAACUCUGACCCAGCGACGCCGCGUGAGGGAUGAAGGCCUUCGGGUUGUAAACCUCUUUCAGCAGGGAAUAAGCGAAAGUGAAGGUACCGGCAGAAGAAGCACCGGCUAACUAUGUGCCAGCCGCCGCCGUAA
RNAcentral lists this ribosomal RNA (480 nucleotides) under uncultured bacterium. RNAcentral's name for it is "partial 16S ribosomal RNA". It matches the Rfam family "Bacterial small subunit ribosomal RNA", at positions 28 to 523 of the family's 1533-position model. The record is from RNAcentral.